AUUGAGAAGAGAGCAGCAUCAUCGAAGUGAAGUCUUCUGGGAAGUGCUUCCUCAGAGUCAGGACUUAGGAACUGUUCCAGAGGUAGCCAACGUCUUACCUAGUGCUGGCAGCCAAACUUGGUAGUGUGAGAGUCAUGCAGGUGGUUGUGGUUUUGAAGACAUGAAGGGGUCAUGGAGAGCAGUGGAAGCUGUGUUGGCAAGGCUGUCCCUGAAGAAAGGCCCCCAGGAAAGGCUAUUGCUGAAAAUGCAUCCUAGCUGCAGUAAGAGACCCCAACAUUUUGGAGAUGCCAGUACCAUGCAAUGACCACCAAGAACAACAGCAGUGAUAGAAUGGAGACUACAAGAGCCUAGAAGACAAGCUGUGUGUACCGUAGAGGAGAGAAGAUCAUGAGUAGACCCAGACACUGGAUACUAGGUUAUUUACACUGUUGGAGUCUGGUUCUAGUUUUUUCAGAUUGUGACUGUGCCCUGGUUCUUCCCUCUUGAGAUUUCACACCACAAAUGAAGCCGGGAAAAGUUGGCUACGGUUUUUGGAAGGCCGGGGAAUGGAAGGGAAAGAACUUACUAGUGUACUCUCUGGAAAAGUCCCAGGCCAAAGUGUGUCUUCAUAGGGUGCUGGGCUUUGGAUCUAUGCCACGUUUUAGUAAAUGGAACAGAGGUAAAUGUCGAAUGUGGUGUUGGUCCACCGUGUGGAUGGUCCCUUAACAGCAGCCAGCGGUCCUCUUGGGAAAGCUUUCUGUUUGCGUUCUACACACUGUGCUGAACAAGCUGUCUGCUCGAAGUCUACUGGGCCUGGAAAGGAUGGUUUGAUGGGGCCAGAAAUCAAGGUCUUGCAGACGAACCCCUGCUGUUUCAAGUACCAUCUUGUUUAUUUCUACCACAGCAAGCUCUGCCUGGUGGGAUUUUCUGUGAUAACAGUGAUAGCAUUUAUGCUGUUAUGUACUUGACAUGUGGCUGUUGGAAUUAAAUGUUUAAUUUUAAUC
Molecule: long non-coding RNA, 983 nt
Organism: Mesocricetus auratus (golden hamster)
Lineage: Eukaryota; Metazoa; Chordata; Mammalia; Rodentia; Cricetidae
Exons: 2
Source: RefSeq, a predicted model, not a curated record